CCACUCCCUUCCAGUCACGCAAAUUUCACCUCAUUGUCCGUUUCUCCGAUAAAAUUAGUAGUAGGCAAGAACCAAGGCGACGAUGCCAAACACAGGUUUCUUAGCUCGCUUGUUCGCUCUCUCAGUCACGCGAUCGGAUUCCACAAUCCGAGCCAAUGCCAAGUCCCUCCAUAUUAUUCGCUACUGGCUAUUCUCAUCCUGCCCAUCUCUCUGAUGUUAAUUACGAUCAUUUCCGUCAUUCGCUCAAUUUUCUCGCCGUCGUUUUCGUCUCCGAAGGUACCCAGUCCAAGCUGGUGAUGCCAUUUGGAUGGCCCCAUUUGUGCCUCUAUGGUAUGCAGCACUUGGUAAAACCCAGCAUGGUGUUUGCUGUACUAAGAUGUAAAAUAGGAAUCCAUUGCAACGAUAUGCAGCAUAAGAUUUGCCCUUGGACUCAUUGACAUUUUCUCGGAAGAAAAGACUUUACAGUGAUAGGUGACCGUCAUCCUCGAGUAAUCUGUGCACUCAUGGUUCACAUCAAUAAUGUACUCCUGCUGUCUAAUUGAACAAGCGAGACAAUCACACAAAGGGCGGAGGGAAGGUACGACAAGGGGUACGUGCCGUACCGGCGACCGGAAAAUGCUUUGAAAAAUGCUUUGAAGGGGAUGAAGGUGCCGCAGCGGCGCAGCCGGUGCCCUACCAAAAGGGAAGCUCCCGGCUCCGCCAGAGCUUCUCUCAUCCCAUCCUUUGGCAUUAGAAGAGCAUUUUCUUUCUUGUUCAGCCUUCUGAUUUUUCGGAUACGAGGGCACACCUGCAAUGACCAGGGUUCAGUAUGAUUUGGUUCGCUUGCUGUUUGAUUCAUUUCAGUCAUUCUAUUUUAUUUAAUUUAGUCCAAUUUAACUAAAUUUAAGAGUUAAUUUGUUCAACAUCUUUUUCAAAA
Manihot esculenta (cassava) is the source of this 916-nucleotide RNA transcript. RefSeq lists it as uncharacterized. NCBI's taxonomy places the organism in Eukaryota, Viridiplantae, Streptophyta, Magnoliopsida, Malpighiales, Euphorbiaceae. The transcript is spliced from 5 exons. The record is from RefSeq and is a predicted model, not a curated record.